Lycium barbarum (goji berry) is the source of this 1402-nucleotide long non-coding RNA. RefSeq lists it as uncharacterized. The record is from RefSeq and is a predicted model, not a curated record. The transcript has 3 exons. Lineage: Eukaryota; Viridiplantae; Streptophyta; Magnoliopsida; Solanales; Solanaceae.
AAAUAAUUUUGUCAUUAAUGAGAGCUGACACAUAAAGGUAAUAAACAUUUAAUGAAGAGAAAUUAUAACUUAAACAUAAAUAAAGGUAAAGUUAGUCAAAUAUCUCUUAUAAUUAAUAUUUUUUAAAAGACAUGUAAAAUAAAAAAAAUGAUAAAUAAUUCGAGACGGGGAGUAUACAUAUAACAACGUUACGUUUUUCAACCGUGCUUUGAAACAGGUAACUCCAAAAUUUAUGUGGUUUCAUUUUCAAGAUUUCUCCCUUGGUUUAGGCUCUAGUGGGUUUUCUUUAAUUUAACGGAAAAGGGCCAAAAUUACCCCUGAACUUUGAAAAAUAGUUCAUCCAUGCCCUUCGUUAUGCUUUAGGGCCAAUUAUACCCUUACCGUUAUACUUUGGGCCAAAUAUACCCUUGAGUAUAACGGCGUGCCACGUGUCAAAAUCUCAGUGGCCAACUUAUUUUCCCUCUUUUAUUUUUCAUCCGGAUGCCUACUCCUUCAGAUCCGACCCAAUUAAUUUAUUACCCAACCCGUAAAAUAACCCAAAUAAGCCAAACCUAACCCGUAUAACAUAUCUAUAGCCUGCCUCUCUCUCUCUCUAAAAAAAAAAAACGCAGAUCAUCUUCAACCUCUUCAAAUGGAAGCUGCAAUUGUGAUUUAGUGGGUUUUAUUGUUACCUUUUUGCUUGGUGAUUUAGUGGUUUUUCUGCAUACCCUUUUGCUUAUUUUGUGAUUUGGAUUUUGAGUUUUCAUAUUUUUUGUUUUGGGAUGCAGAUCGUCUUCAGAUGGGUGAAGUAGUUUCCACUAUUCCAAUGAAGUCUUACAAUGUCCGAAAUUAGUUGUAAUUCAACGAAAAAGUGUCACUGUGGUGAAAUUGCUCGUUGUUUCAAUUCGAAAACACCUUCAAAUCCUGGUAGGAUAUUCUAUAAGUCUCCUAAACUUAAGGCUGAAAAUUGUGGUUUUUGGGAGUGGCAAGAUAAUUUUCUAGACAAUGCUUUAUUGGAAAUAAGUGAUUUGAAGGGUAAAUUGGAAGUGGCUACGACGAAGAUGAACAAUUUAAGAGAGUCGUUGAAUGCGGUUAAGCUCGAAAGAGACAACUUGAAGAAAAAGGUGCAUAACUUGGAGGCUAUAAAUAACUCUCAAGUGAGAAAAUCAAGGGAAUUGGAAGAGAAGAUGUUGAAGUUGAAGAUGUUUAUGAUUUCAUUGUCCGUAUUAGUUGGAUUUUUUUGUCGCUAAUUUGGAAUGAAUUAUGCUUGGUCUAGUAAUAGAAGUGAAAGGCUUGUUUUGGUAGAUGACGAUGUGUAGGAGUAGAAGUGUUUGUUUAGGAGUUGAAGUCUUGAUAUGUAAGCUAGUUUGUUGUUGUUAUUGUAUGUGUAAACUUGCUAAUUUAGUGUUGCUAAUAAGAAAUC